UUUUACCCGGGUUUAACUCUAUCCGGAUCUUGGAUAAGGAAUUUUAGGAAUGAUGUAAUAAAAACAAACGAAUAUUUUGAGUAUAAUUGCUAUAACAAUUCUGUUUAAUGUUUCUUUAAUUACAAAUAAGUUACCUAUUUUAAUGGUAAAUAAUCUUUCAUAUUAAUGACCCUAAUAAAUAGCCGAUUUUAAUGGAAAAUCGUUUUUCAUAUUUAUGCUCAUAAUAAAUGUCCAGAUUUUAACAAUAUAU
RNAcentral lists this long non-coding RNA (250 nucleotides) under Arabidopsis lyrata. RNAcentral describes it as "long non-coding RNA (ALYR_LNC001449)". Lineage: Eukaryota; Viridiplantae; Streptophyta; Magnoliopsida; Brassicales; Brassicaceae. The record is from RNAcentral.